CUGCUACAGGCAGUGUUAGUAGGAAUCUAGAUAAUCCAUUGUUAGUUGUGCCUCUUAAACCCUCUGUUGCGGAGUUUCCAGCCGCCAAGAAGGAAGAGCAAAGUGAUCAAUUGAGUAAUUUGGUUGGAGCUGGUUACCAAGCUUUUGAAGAUGCUAUUUUAAAUAAGCUGACUAAGGCUGCCGAAAAACAACAAAAAUGAUGACAAAAAGGUCUUAGGAGCAGAUUGCAAAUGCAUCAGUGGCAUUUUAUCCACAGAUGUUUUGCCAACAUGUCCUAAAUUUACUAGUUCGGAAUUGAAUAUUAGCUUUCUGAAGUAUACCUUUUAAGAAGAGAGAUGAACCAUUCGACAUAAGUUCUUAUGUAUGUAAAUUCUAUCUUCAUUUAUUAAUGCUCAAUACUUCAAACUAUUUGUUUCCUUAUUGUAAGAAUAUUUUUAACAUUGUAACUUUUAACAUUAUUGUAAGAAUAUUUUGAAUUA
Long non-coding RNA from Gossypium raimondii (Peruvian cotton), 479 nucleotides. RefSeq lists it as uncharacterized. The record is from RefSeq and is a predicted model, not a curated record. NCBI's taxonomy places the organism in Eukaryota, Viridiplantae, Streptophyta, Magnoliopsida, Malvales, Malvaceae. The transcript is spliced from 2 exons.